GGGCCGCCGGCUGCCGGCCCCGGGCGGGGCGGAGCCCUACUUCUGGCCGCCCGCGUAGGCGGUGCUUGAACUUAGGGCUGCUUGUGGCUGGGUAUUCGCGCAGAGGCGGGCCGGCCAGCCAUGGUUGCUGCGAGCGACACGGGGCGAGCGCUGGGGGUCCUCGGCGUGUUCUGCCUGCUGCGCUGCUUCGGUUUCAUCAGCUGUAUUUCCCAACAAACAUAUGGCAUUCUGCAUAAGAAUGUCACUUUCCAUGUACCAAGCAAUAUACCUUUAACAGAAAUCCUAUGGAAAAAACAAAAGGAUAAAGUUGCAGAACGGGAAAAUUCUGAAUUCAGAGCUUUCUCAUCUUUUAAAAAUAGAGUUUAUUUGGACACUGUGUCAGGUAGCCUCACUAUCUACAACUUAACAUUAUCAGACGAAGAUGAGUAUGAAAUGGAAUCGCCAAAUAUUACCGAUACCAUGAAGUUCUUUCUUUAUGUACUUGAGCCUCUUCCAUCUCCUACACUAACUUGUGCAUUGACUAAUGGAAGCAUUGAAGUCCAGUGCAUGAUAUCAGAGCAUUACAACACUCAUCCACAACUUAACACGUACUCAUGGGAUUGUCCUUUGGAGCAAUGUAAACAUAACUCAACCCGUAUAUAUUUUAAGAUGGAAAAUGAUCUUCCACAAAAAGUACAGUGUACUGCUAGCAAUCCAUUAUUUAAAAGAACAUCAUCAAUCAUUCCGGAAACCUGUAUCCCAAGCAGUGGUCAUUCAAGACACAGAUAUGUGCUUAUACCUGUAGCAUUAGCACUAAUUGUAACAUGUGUUGUGCUGUAUGUGCAUGUUCUUUAAUUGAGAAGACAACUUAUUCAUUUUUAGGUACUCGGAAAUGUGGCAGAAAACCAGACAGAAGCAACUCCAAUUGAUUGGUAACAGAAGAUGAAGACAACAGCAUAACAAAUUAUUUUGAAAACUAAAAAGCCAUCUAAUUUCUCAUUUGAAGAGAAAUUUUUGAAAAAUUUCCAUUUUCGAAGAACUGUUGGAAAUGUAACUUGAAGCAGCUAUUUUUUUUUAAGAAGAAAUACUUACAAACAAAGAACAUGCAUUAGUUUCAAGUGUCAUCAACCUAUUAUAUGACGGGGUGCUUGCUUUUUUGUCACUAAAUUGUUUUUACUGAUGAUAUGGAAACUUUUGUAAAUAAAUGUAAAUAUGUACA
Mandrillus leucophaeus (drill) is the source of this 1198-nucleotide RNA transcript. It is a transcript of the gene named CD58 molecule, with no coding region annotated. Lineage: Eukaryota; Metazoa; Chordata; Mammalia; Primates; Cercopithecidae. The record is from RefSeq and is a predicted model, not a curated record. The transcript has 6 exons.